Dermacentor andersoni is the source of this 2498-nucleotide long non-coding RNA. RefSeq lists it as uncharacterized. Lineage: Eukaryota; Metazoa; Arthropoda; Arachnida; Ixodida; Ixodidae. The record is from RefSeq and is a predicted model, not a curated record.
CUCGGGACGGAGCCCGUGGAUCGGCCGGGGCUCAGCGCUUGUCGCCGCGGGCCCAGCAGCCUCCGAGGGGCGCCGGGAGCCAGCCUGUCAAGAACGCGUCCCGUAAAGCUGCGCAUUUCGGGCUCCGGGCGAGGUGAUUAAUGCGCUCGGUAUAGCCGAGACAACCGUCUAAUUUGUUCCCCCCCUCUUUUCAGGCUCCAGCGUGCUUGUCGAGCAGAACAAAUCUCAGAUAAAGCGCACAAAGUGUGUCAUCAAGGCGCCCGCGCACACACGCACGCACGCGCACACAAACACGCACGUACGUGUGACCAAGGCACACAGUAAACGCACACAUGCACGCGCACGCACGGAGGACACACACACGCCCACGAGGCGAACGAAUAUAUCGAGUUUCUAUUUUGACUCUGUCGAACUUUUCGAAGCGCCCUUUCUGAUAGCGUAAAAAGUUUGUGCGCGAUCUAUUUCACUAAAUAGCAGCGAGGUCACUGGGAACUGACCAUACUAUUGACGCCAACUUGACGUUUUUUCUGCUAAACUUAAUGACUUUUUUUUUUUUUUUGUAGUGUCUGAGGGGAGAAACCCGCCUUUCGCGCCUGACCGGGUCUUUGCCAGGUGAGAUAAUGAUAGCUUUCUUCUCUUUUCUUCUUCUUUUUUUGGUGACGAAGCAGUUUAUCCUAUUAUAGCACAGAUGGGACUUCAAUUGGCGAAAGAACGCUGCUCAUCGGGGCCUUGAAAGGGUGCGGUGAUUUCGCCUACACUCUUCAACAUAGCCAUGAUUGGACUAGCUAAAAAACUCCAAGAUAUCCUCGACGUCCGUCAUUCCCUAUACGCGGAUGAUAUAACGAUAUGGAUAACCAAGGGCAACUUGGGAGAGAAGGAGGAAAAGCUCCAACGGGCAGCCAAUAUAAUAGAAAACUAUACGCAACAAAGAGGACUGCAGUGCUCUGCGGAGAAGUCAGAACUCAUUCGCCUCACAAAAACCAAAAAACAAAGAACUGACCCGAGACUCAAACUCGAGAUCAGGCUGGAAGGGAAAAUUAUUCCUGAGAGGUCAAUAGUAAGAGUGUUGGGGAUGUGGCUGCAAUCUAAUGUCAGAUGUUUACACACUUUAAACACGAUCAGAAAAACAACGCAACAAAUUAACCGGAUGACAGCCCGUGUGGCUCAUAAUCGGACAGGAAUGGGGGAACAAGACACCCUCAGACUGGUGAAAAGCCUGGUCAUUAGCAGACUAAUGUGCUCCCUACCUUACCAUGCCAUGAACAGGGAGGAAGAAGAAAAGGCUGAUAAAAUAAUAAGGAUGGCAUAUAAGACAGCCCUAAGGUUGCCACGCAACACUUCAAAUGAGAAGCUUCUAGCCCUGGCCUCCACAAUACAUUUCAUGAGCUGGCUGAAGCCCAACUCAUAGCGCAAAGGACUCGAUUGGCGCAAACGACAAUCGGCAGAGCUCUUCUUCAAAGAAUCGGCCUUGGAGAAUGCAUACAAAUAUACCAAAACGCCAAAAGUCUACCCUGCCAGAUUAGAGCUUUGUAUGGGGUAUCAUCAAUACCACAAAACAUUGAUCCGACAUUACACGCAGGAAGGAGCAAAGCUAGAGCAGAAUACAUAGACAAAACAACAAAAUACUUGGACACUGCACGAUUCACGGAUGCUUCACCAUAUCGGGCCAACGCAAAGAACAUGGUGGCAGUUGUCGUAAACCGUAAAGGGAAAAUCACGGCCUGUGCUUCGGUUUCCCGAGCAACCAUUUUAGAAGCCGAAGAGAUAGCCAUCGCCUUAGCUAUAAGGGAAGGCAUAGAGCGCAAUGCUCCACUAAAAAUAAUCACAGAUUCUCAGGCCGCAUGUAGGAACUAUCAGAGGGGACGAAUCGGCCCGAGGGCACGCCGGAUACUUACCGAAAUCAACAGCGACCUUGACAUCAAAUAUACCCAAACGAUAACAUGGGCCCCGGGACACGAGGGUGUUACUGGGAACCUCCAUGCAGAUGAGGCGGCUCGAGGUUUCACUAAUUGCCGAGCUGCCCAUGGCAACAUGGUGGAGGACCCGACACCCAUCGAUCCAAGUUAUAAAGCGAUCUUGCAACACUACAGGGAAUUCAGAAGGCUCUACCCAGCCCCGCAUCGGAACCUUUCAGCCGCGGACUCAGCGACGUUACGCAGGCUCCAAACGGACACAUACAUAAACCUACAUAAAUUGCACAUAUACUACCCAACAGCAUACAAGGACAUAUGCCCGUGGUGUGGGAGCACACCAACGCUCUACCACAUCACAUGGGAGUGCACAGCUCACUCAGAAGAACAAGAAGAUAAUAACACGAGAGCGAGGUGGGAGGCAUUGCUAUCCAGCUCCGCCCUCGGUGAUCAGCUCAGGCUCGUCCGGAGGACAGAAAGGAUGGCGAGGGCCAGCGGUGCCUUGGAAUAGGGGCCCGACGACACGACGUUAUGCCGUUUUAGGGGCAACGAAGUUCUUUCUACCAAUAAAGUUUUGUUCUUCUUGUU